GAUAAUUGCAUACAAAGAAAAACACACUAUAUUUAAUAGAUAAACUUUAAUAUUACCACCAAUGGGUUAUUUUUUUUUAUUUUUUUAGACAAACGAUAGCUUCCUUUUUUUUUCUUUUUUCUUUUUUCUCUUUCUUUUUUUUGGUAGGGGCUUUUU
Molecule: non-coding RNA, 156 nt
Filed under: Rhodomonas abbreviata
Lineage: Eukaryota; Cryptophyceae; Pyrenomonadales; Pyrenomonadaceae
Source: RNAcentral